RNAcentral lists this ribosomal RNA (468 nucleotides) under uncultured bacterium. RNAcentral describes it as "partial 16S ribosomal RNA". It matches the Rfam family "Bacterial small subunit ribosomal RNA", at positions 28 to 507 of the family's 1533-position model. The record is from RNAcentral.
GACGAACGCUGGCGGCGUGCUUAACACAUGCAAGUCGAACGGAAAGGCCCUGCUUUUGUGGGGUGCUCGAGUGGCGAACGGGUGAGUAACACGUGAGUAACCUGCCCUUGACUUUGGGAUAACUUCAGGAAACUGGGGCUAAUACCGGAUAGGAUCUCCUGCUGCAUGGUGUGGGUUGGAAAGUUUCGGCGGUUGGGGAUGGACUCGCGGCUUAUCAGCUUGUUGGUGGGGUAGUGGCUUACCAAGGCUUUGACGGGUAGCCGGCCUGGGAGGGUGACCGGCCACAUUGGGACUGAGAUAGGGCCCAGACUGCUACGGGAGGCAGCAGUGGGGAAUAUUGCACAAUGGGCGGAAGCGUGAUGCAGCAACGCCGCGUGCGGGAUGACGGCAUUCGGGUUGUAAACCGAUUUAGAAUGUGACGAAGAGAGAGUGACGGUAAUGGGUAAAGAAGCACCGGCUAACUACGUG